UACGUAGGGGGCAAGCGUUGUCCGGAUUUAUUGGGCGUAAAGAGCUUGUAGGCGGUUAGGUAGGUCCGUUGUGAAAACUCGAGGCUCAACCUCGAGACGCCGAUGGAAACCAUCUGACUAGAGUCCGGAAGAGGAGAGUGGAAUUCCUGGUGUAGCGGUGAAAUGCGCAGAUAUCAGGAAGAACACCCGUGGCUAAGGCGGCUCUCUAGUACGUGACUGACGCUGAGACGCGAAAGCGUGGGGAGCGAACAGG
This 253-nucleotide ribosomal RNA is filed under the name uncultured bacterium. RNAcentral's name for it is "partial 16S ribosomal RNA". It matches the Rfam family "Bacterial small subunit ribosomal RNA", at positions 524 to 776 of the family's 1533-position model. The record is from RNAcentral.